GAUGAACGCUGGCGGCGUGCCUAAUACAUGCAAGUCGAGCGAACAGACGAGGAGCUUGCUCCUCUGAUGUUAGCGGCGGACGGGUGAGUAACACGUGGAUAACCUACCUAUAAGACUGGGAUAACUUCGGGAAACCGGAGCUAAUACCGGAUAAUAUUUUGAACCGCAUGGUUCAAUAGUGAAAGACGGUUUUGCUGUCACUUAUAGAUGGAUCCGCGCUGCAUUAGCUAGUUGGUAAGGUAACGGCUUACCAAGGCAACGAUGCGUAGCCGACCUGAGAGGGUGAUCGGCCACACUGGAACUGAGACACGGUCCAGACUCCUACGGGAGGCAGCAGUAGGGAAUCUUCCGCAAUGGGCGAAAGCCUGACGGAGCAACGCCGCGUGAGUGAUGAAGGUCUUCGGAUCGUAAAACUCUGUUAUUAGGGAAGAACAAAUGUGUAAGUAACUAUGCACAUCUUGACGGUACCUAAUCAGAAAGCCACGGCUAACUACGUG
RNAcentral lists this ribosomal RNA (497 nucleotides) under uncultured bacterium. RNAcentral describes it as "partial 16S ribosomal RNA". It matches the Rfam family "Bacterial small subunit ribosomal RNA", at positions 28 to 507 of the family's 1533-position model. The record is from RNAcentral.